Molecule: ribosomal RNA, 477 nt
Filed under: uncultured bacterium
Lineage: Bacteria
Description: bacterial SSU rRNA
Rfam family: Bacterial small subunit ribosomal RNA
Source: RNAcentral
GCGAACGUUUGCGGCGGGCCUAACACAUGCAAGUCGAACGGGCAUCUUCGGAUGUCAGUGGCGCACGGGUGCGUAACACGUGGAUAAUCAACCCUUUAGUUCGGGACAACAGCGGGAAACUGCUGCUAAUACCGGAUGUGACUUCGAGGUCAUCAGGCCUCGUCGAGAAAGGCUCGCAAGGGCCGCUAGAGGACGAGUCCGCGUCCCAUCAGCUAGUUGGUGAGGUAAUGGCUCACCAAGGCGAAGACGGGUAGCUGGUCUGAGAGGAUGAUCAGCCACACUGGAACUGAGACACGGUCCAGACUCCUACGGGAGGCAGCAGUGGGGAAUAUUGCGCAAUGGGCGAAAGCCUGACGCAGCCACGCCGCGUGAGCGAUGAAGGUCUUCGGAUCGUAAAGCUCUGUGGGGGGAGAAGAAUAAAGCCGGUGAAGAGCCGGCCUUGACGGUAUCCCUUUAGCAAGCACCGGCUAACUCCGU